UACGUAGGGUGCAGGCGUUAAUCGGAAUUACUGGGCGUAAAGCGUGCGCAGGCGGUUUGCUAAGAGAGAUGCGAAAUCCCCGGGCUUAACCUGGGAACUGCGUUUCUAACUGGCAGGCUUGAGUGUGGCAGAGGGGGGUGGAAUUCCACGUGUAGCAGUGAAAUGCGUAGAGAUGUGGAGGAACACCGAUGGCGAAGGCAGCCCCCUGGGCUAACACUGACGCUCAUGCACGAAAGCGUGGGGAGCAAACAGG
Molecule: ribosomal RNA, 253 nt
Filed under: uncultured bacterium
Lineage: Bacteria
Description: partial 16S ribosomal RNA
Rfam family: Bacterial small subunit ribosomal RNA
Source: RNAcentral